GCUAUUUUGGCUGUUUUGUACUUGGUGGAGCAGAAAGAAUGCUAAAGCAGGAAUGCAGGUGAUUCUGAAGCUCGGCCUUGAAGGGAUCACCACUAGAUAUUUUCCCUUAUGGUCUCUGCAGGACAAUAGACCAAGGAGAACCCAGAUUUUCUGUGGAUAUUCAACCCUUAUACUCAAUGCAGCUCAAUAACUCAAGAAACAUUGAUCAAAUCUCUCAGAGGUGAGUCUGGAUUCAUCCAAGCCAUCUCCCUUAUUGGUCAGGGCUUAAGACAAUUCAUGCUUGAUA
RNAcentral lists this long non-coding RNA (286 nucleotides) under Aotus nancymaae (Ma's night monkey). RNAcentral's name for it is "lncRNA (ENSANAG00000038853.1)". Lineage: Eukaryota; Metazoa; Chordata; Mammalia; Primates; Aotidae. The record is from RNAcentral.